GUGCUCACUUCAGCAGCACAUAUACUAAAAAUUGGAAUACUGCAAAGAAGAUUAGCAUGGCCCCUGCACAAAAAAAAUAUAAAAGAAUAAAAUAAAAAGAUUCUU
This is a small nuclear RNA of Phyllostomus discolor (pale spear-nosed bat), 105 nucleotides long. NCBI's taxonomy places the organism in Eukaryota, Metazoa, Chordata, Mammalia, Chiroptera, Phyllostomidae. The record is from RefSeq and is a predicted model, not a curated record.